RNAcentral lists this ribosomal RNA (117 nucleotides) under Desulfuromonas thiophila. Lineage: Bacteria; Pseudomonadati; Thermodesulfobacteriota; Desulfuromonadia; Desulfuromonadales; Desulfuromonadaceae. The record is from RNAcentral.
UUCGGCGGCUAUAGCGCGAAGGCAACACCUGUUCCCAUCCCGAACACAGAAGUUAAGCUUCGCUGCGCCGAUGAUACUGCACGGGUGACUGUGUGGGAAAGUAGGUCGCCGCCGAAU